UUCCAGACUCCUACGGGAGGCAGCAGUGGGGGAUAUUGCACAAUGGGGGGAACCCUGAUGCAGCGACGCCGCGUGGGUGAAGGAGCGUUUCGGCGCGUAAAGCCCUAUCGGCAGGGAAGAAGGAGGACGGUACCUGACUAAGAAGCCCCGGCUAACUACGUGCCAGCAGCCGCGGUAAUACGUGGGGGGCAAGCGUUGUCCGGAAUUACUGGGUGUAAAGGGAGCGCAGGCGGAUUGACAAGUUGGGAGUGAAAACUACGGGCUCAACCCGUAACCUGCUUUCAAAACUGUCAGUCUUGAGUGGUGGAGAGGUAGGCGGAAUUCCCGGUGUAGCGGUGGAAUGCGUAGAUAUCGGGAGGAACACCAGUGGCGAAGGCGGCCUACUGGGCACUAACUGACGCUGAGGCUCGAAAGCAUGGGUAGCAAACAGGAUUAGAUACCCGGGUA
Molecule: ribosomal RNA, 447 nt
Filed under: uncultured bacterium
Lineage: Bacteria
Description: bacterial SSU rRNA
Rfam family: Bacterial small subunit ribosomal RNA
Source: RNAcentral